RNAcentral lists this unclassified non-coding RNA (5174 nucleotides) under Leishmania donovani. RNAcentral describes it as "gene:LdHU3.34.3290(CDS-product:hypothetical_prote in_conserved)". Lineage: Eukaryota; Euglenozoa; Kinetoplastea; Trypanosomatida; Trypanosomatidae. The record is from RNAcentral.
GGAAUGAUCCCACUUGCCCACGUACAGAUAUUGUGGGCUGCUAUUAUUCAUAUAUACAUACCUACGUGAAAGGGCUAGCGUUCCGUAUUGCAUCUCUCCGCACCUUCCCAUUAGGAUAAGCUUCGCGCUCCCCGCAAGACGCGGGAAACUCUGUCACCGCUGCCCCAUUCAAACACUCCUUCUUUCUCGCUUCCUGCGCUCUCGCGACGCUCACGCCUUUUCUGUUUCGUGCUUCGAGGGCAGGUAGACGAGGGUACAAUGAACGCAUCAUCGUUGUUGCUUACGCCGGCGGCGGUGCCUCGGCAAGAAUCGUCCGCAGCAUCCUACCUGACCUCCUCGCCGCUGCUGGUCGACGUGGUGCCGUUCGAGGCUUCGCUGCAACGCCUUUUGUAUGAGAAGGUUUCGACAGACGAGCAGAUGUGCAGCUACUCGGUGCAGCAGGCGUACCGCGGGCUUCUGUACGGUGUCCGUGCAACCACGCUCACGUUGACGGGGGCAGGGAUAGGCGCCGCGAAUCAUGAGCCUGCGUUGGCCCCUUCCAAAGAGGGCGAGACGCAUCGCGACGCCGCGUUGUCAGCUGCGACGGCGACGGACGCGUGCGUGCUUCGCGGGUGGCAAGCGGUGCUGUAUCGCAUGGCGCUUGUGGCCACCCGCUCUGCUGCGGACUUGGAGUGUGCCAUCUUUUUGAGCACACGCAUUCUCUGUGACCCGGCGACGGCCCACGGUCAGGGCAACGAGCGUCCAUGCUGCACGCAUGAGUGGACGCAAGCGCUAUUGCAAGGGCUGCCACUGAGGGGUUUUGUGAUGGGCAGCAGCGAGCACAAGGAGCUCGAUGACCGAUUUGUUCGGCUCGUGCAUGCAAACCGACGGUACCAGCUUGGAUUUCUUCUCAUCCUGUCGAACACGCUUCGCAUGUUGGCCACCGGCCACGUCGAGGGCCAGCGACUGUGCGCCGAACACACAGAACUGUUCACAGGCAUUGCACAGAGCAUGGUGCCGGCUGUUGCGAGCUACGUGGAGGAGUCGAUGCGCGAGAGCGCACUGCACGCCGCGAGGAGGACGGAUGCGGGCGGCGCCGCCCCGCUGCCGAGCCGGCUGACGGUUGAGCUGAAUCACCUCGUCGUGCACUGUGUGUACUGGCUCACCACGGACGUGCUGCUGGCGCACAUGGACGCCGAGGCCGACUCAUCCGUGGACACCAAAGAGGCAGCACUCAAGUCAAGGAGGCAGAAGAAACGCCCGCCGGUGCUCGAUCGUGACCUUCCAGCGUGCCUGUGGGGGUGCGUCACAAUGGUCCGCAACGCGCUGCGACGCGGUUUUCGUUGGCUUGCCGAGGAGUUUGACCACCGCGGCCCCCGCACAGCAGCGACGCCGGCAACGGCGCUGCUGUCAGCUGUCUCGAAGCAGCUCGAGGACGUCUUCACAGAUGUGGUCAAACACCAGGAACUGCUGCAGUACUCGCUCCUCAACGCGACGCGCGAGUUCAACGGGGCUUCAUCGCACAACGCACAGAGUCUGACGGAGAUGGUAUGGGCCCACACGCUGCAGAUGUGCUUCCUUGUUCGCAACUUGACUGGUGUGUGGGUCGCCGUGCAUGGAGGCCUGGGCGUGCCGACGACGUCGGCAGGUUUGGUUCUGCCAGCGUACAGGGACGUUUUGAUGUUCAUGGCCAGCGCCCUUCUGCGCGUGCCCACCCUGCACGAUGCGAAGGAGAACGAGCGGACAACCUUCAUGGCGACCGAUGCGGCUUUAAGUGCGUGCCUCGCGCUCGUCGCAGCCGCACCCACCACAACGCUGCAGGCGGAGUUGUGGGCCACAGACAGCGGUGUGACACAACAGAUCCACGCUCUUCUGGUACAGCGGGCGUUGCGGUACCGCAAUGAGCGAGUGCUUCGGUUAGCCUCACUGCUUUCGCGCGCCGUGCUAGACGCGGCGGUGCGAAGCGGCGCUCUCGCUGGCUUCGCCGCGGACUCGUCCGACCAGCUGCUAGAGCUACUCGAGAGCGAGGACGACGCCGCGUCGCGGUGCGUUGGUGAGCUGCUGUGCGUGUCUAUUCUUGAGCACCCAUACCGUCUUAUCCCGGCGCUGUUUCGUAUGCUGGAGCACGGUAGCACGGCCACGCGGCGACAUGUGCUGGAGGUGCUGUGUAACCUACCGGACCUCGUCUCGGAGCAGCGCGCCGCGGAGGAGGACACAGCGGAGGAACGUCCCUCGCGCUCCAGCGCGCCGGAUACCGUGGCGCCGUGGUUUGGUGGCCAUUCGAAGUCUAUAGGCGCACGCCGACGCCACGUACUCAGACUCCUUGCGGAGAACCUGUUGCUGCGGCUGCCGGACGAGGAGCUGUGCGUGCGGCUGCUGAGCUCGUCCUUGUUUGCCAAGGUGCACCCGGACGACGUGCUGCUCCCGCUCUUGCACCUCUGUGUGCAAAGAGAUGACACGGGACGGAAGCAAAGCGCCGCGCUGUCGGCGUUGACCUCCGUUGUCACCGCACACACGGACACAGCGGAGACGUACCUCCUGCUGUUGCAAUGCGGGUAUCAGUGCCAGUCCGCGGCGAACGGCGGCACCCUCAGCGCUGUAGUCGCGCCUGGAGGGAUCAAGAGGAAUACCGACGGUGUAGACAGCGAGCAGAACCCUACUAUGGUGCGGCGACCGACUCCGCAGACGCCAGGCGACAUUCUAUCACAGGCCCUCCUCUACUCAGCUGAUGGUAUUGCUGGCUCGGCGCACGACUUGUCCUCAACACCGGCUGCCCUGCCGACCACAGCGGCCGAGAUGGACCCAUCAUCUUCUGAAGCGCGCGCCGGCAACUGGCGUCGCAAGGAAGCGCAGUUGCAGACGGCGCUUCUGACGCUCACAGAUCGGUGGGUGCGGGCGGCGGCAGCGAGCUGGACGUACGCUUGUCAUUCCCUUCCUCUCCUUCAGUUUCUGGCCCGUCAAGCAAACCGCGGAGCGGGUGACGGCACAGCUGAUUAUGCCAGCGACUCUGGUGCCCCUGUCGUAGAGUGGGUGCAGUGGGCCAUGAAGUACAUGGUGCGGCUUACCGCCUCGCUUACCGGCCUCGUCAACGAUGACCUCUCGCCAGCUGCCCAGGCUCGCUUAAACAAGAUGCACCUUCGAGCCAUCUGGGACACGUUCUUUGCACGUGCGUCGGCCACGGAAGGACCGCCUGAUGACAGGUGGGCGCGCAUUGCUUGCCGUGCAGGGGGCACCGGCAGCGGGGCCGACGCAGGCGCGUCGGCGCGCCUGCACGCACUGCUGCUGCCGCUCCUGUGCUUACGCAGUUGUGCCCCCAAAACAUUCGCCGUUGCAGACGCGACAUUCGUGACGGAUGCAGUGGAUUCACCUGAGGAGGAGGACGACGACGAUGACGUUGCCACUAUUGUGCGCCGACUGUGGCGAGUCCUCUGGCGCGGCGUCACAAUGGAGGCGAAGUCGGAUGCGACGAUUUUUGCCGCGUACCCGGAAAUUCAGCGGGUUGCGUUGGAAGUGGUGUGCCGCUUUCCGGCGAGGCUCUUCUUCCACGCGUGGACGCGGUGGACAGCGGCACAGGCAAAAGACAAUGAGCCCUCCAACGCCUCGAACUCGCCGGGUGGCGAGCUGUCGUCGUCGAGGAUGUUUGCGUAUCGGGUGUAUCUCUUCGGCGUGUCAUCGUACCUUGCCGCUGCGAGUGUGCAGACAGCGUCGCGGCACAGCGACCCAUCGGCAUCGACGGCGGCGCCUCUUUCAGCAGAUCACGGCAGUUACUUGGCCAGUGACUUGCAGGUUGUCCUAGAGUACCGCGCCACGCUGGAGCGACUGUUGACUGUCACGUUGCCCCAAUGGCUGAUGGAAGAGGAAGGGGACAUAUCUGUCAACUUGUCAUCGUCGCAGCAGGGGAACUCAGUGGGAGAAGCCGGCGAAGCGGGGCCAGGGAUACCUAUCAACCAGGGCUCGAGCGAAAAGGCGGAGGCCAUGAAACAGCGACUGUGCGUCGCCGCUAUCGAUGCUGCAGCCGUCGUCGGCGUUGUGACGCUAUCCAAAACCGACGGUUUUCCAACGUCAUCUUCUCUACCGACUUCCGGCAACGGUUACACCUCCGCUCUCUACGCCUUGUGCAACAGCCUCCUUGAGACGCCGCUGACAGGGUUGGCGAAGGCGUACAGAGACGCCGAGAAGCGCGAGACGUCGGAGGAGCUGUCGAGGUACGACGACGCUGGCAGUGAAACCGAUUGGGCCCGGCAGCUGGCGCGUUUCCAGCUAUGCAUCCGCGUUCAUCAGUGCGUGCUGAACGCCAUCUCUCUUCACCCCGCCCAUGCGAAGGGUCUGCUGCUGUGUUGGUUUCGCGGCUUCCUCCCCCCGAUUGUGGAGCUGUCGAACGCUGCUUGCAGAAGUGUGGUGGGGAGAGAACGGCACGAUUGUCGUGCAGCCGUGGACGCAUGCAGUGUCAUUUUUCAGGCUGUUCUGAUGGCGCGCAAGAUCGGCAGCCCCACUGCCCCUGCCUUGACCAACUCGGCAGAAGACAAGUCGUCGGCCUCGUCGUCUCUCCUUUUCCGGCUUGCGUGGGAGGAGAGGGAGGCGCUGGUGAGCUUUUCCCUCGGAUGCGUGCGGUUUACGGCGUCGGCAGCGGUGCAAAUCGUCGGCGUCCGCCUCCUCUCUGCGGUCCUUGUCGCUGCUCCCGAGCUCUUCCUGAGCAUGGACGGAAUGAACACGCAGAUGGUCACGUCGACGCCUUCCACCCGUAUGGGCUUUUCAUCUUCACCCUGGUGCGCGCUCGAAGAUGGGCAGCGGCUUCUGAGCUCCGCCGCGUCUGCGCUGCAGCCCAUCGCCCUCAUGCACCCCGAUCGCCCCACCCGCGUUCUGGCUGAUGAGGUGUUGCGAAUGCUGGAGAAAGCGGCAACGGCGAGCGGCACGUGAUCACCUGGACACGAGCGCGAAGGAGGAGGUGGACUCGAGGGCUCGCGCGUGCCAUUGACCCCUUCGCACCACCACCCUCUCUGCGCGGCGGAGGUGAUGCCUGCAACAGAGCUGCUUUAGCACUGCCAAAAAAAAAGAAUCGUAAUUCACACUAGCACUCAUAUAUUCACAAACAAAAACGUGGCAUCGGCGUCUGGAUGACGUGCGGUCUCUCGAGUACGGGGGCGCAAAAGAAGCGCCAGAACGCCGAGUUUGUUUAUUGACUGAACAUCACGCGC